AGUUGUGGCCCAUCUUAUGUGAUUAGCAAGCAUCCUAGCAAAAUAUGGGAGGGAAUGCAUAGCUCACCCGUCUAUAUGCAUUGGGGAUUAGCAAGCUGCCUAUCUAGGUGGAGGAAAUGUGCCGGGUUAGGUCAGGGUCGGAGUUGCAGGUGGCCUGGCCAUAGUACCUUGAGCCUUGGCCCCGAAUCCGCCGUGUCCUUAACUGGGCUGAAAAGACUCUGGCCCUACAGGGCAGCCCUGCAAGGAAAAGAAUUAAAUGAUGAAAAGGUUUGGAUCAUUGCAGCAUGACUUAGAUCCAAUGUCUUUAAACUAAUACGUUGUGAAUGGGAACCACUUACAAGUGUCUUUAGAUCA
Long non-coding RNA from Magnolia sinica, 354 nucleotides. RefSeq lists it as uncharacterized. The transcript has 2 exons. Lineage: Eukaryota; Viridiplantae; Streptophyta; Magnoliopsida; Magnoliales; Magnoliaceae. The record is from RefSeq and is a predicted model, not a curated record.